GAGCUCAGUAGGUAAAGCAUUAGAUUCUUAAUCCCAGGGUCGUGAGUUCGAUCCCCACAUUGGGCA
Podarcis lilfordi (Lilford's wall lizard) is the source of this 66-nucleotide non-coding RNA. The record is from the annotation of a GenBank genome assembly. Lineage: Eukaryota; Metazoa; Chordata; Lepidosauria; Squamata; Lacertidae.